AAAAAAUCCGGUCAAAUUUUCAUUGUAAAUAUGAAUUCCUUUGUUAUAAGAGCAGCUAAACUUUAUUUGGCCACUACAGGAGCAACUGUUAAUGGUCAUUAUGGAGAAAUCCUUUACAAGGGAGAUAGGUUAGUUACGUUUAUAUAUGAAAAAUCGAGAUCUAGUGACAUAACGCAAGGUCUUCCAAAAGUGGAACAAAUCUUUGAAGUGCGUUCAAUUGAUUCAUUAUCCCCGAAUCUCAAAAGGAGAAUUGAGGAUUGGAAUGAGCGUAUACCAAGAAUUCUUGGGGUCCCUUGGGGAUUACGACACUAG
RNAcentral lists this ribosomal RNA (312 nucleotides) under Triticum aestivum (bread wheat). RNAcentral describes it as "partial small subunit ribosomal RNA". The record is from RNAcentral. Lineage: Eukaryota; Viridiplantae; Streptophyta; Magnoliopsida; Poales; Poaceae.